GCACCAGAGCAAUCUGCAAAUCUUCUCUACAACACUAUUCUUCAUUUGGUGCUGUUCUUGUUCUCAUAAGAAGUAAAACGUGGCCUUUUCUUUCCUUUAUGUUUCCCCUGUGGGGAGCAGGAUAACCUUAGCUUUCUAACUGUAAUUAGAAUUUGAACAUUGAGGAGGACAUGAUUCAGUGCAAGCUUACUUACGUUCUGUAUUGUCUUUUUGGAUUGAUGAUGACAUGUUCUGAAAGUCCGUCAGGCUUGUUAACGUGCUAGGCACUCAUGCCAAGUUCACUGAUUCAUUGCUGAGGGUGUGGAGAUCCAAGAUUCUAAACAGGAUGUUACUUUCCCAUUCUUUUGUGUUAAGUAUGUACAAGGCAAAUAGAAAGGUCAAACAGACAAUCGAAGUUGACUGUUCAAGCCAGAAUUUUUUAAUUGAAUGGAUGAAAGAAGCAGCAUAGAUCAUGUGGCCUGGAGAGGAAAACAACAGCAAGUAGAAGAAAGAGAUUUAAUUGUAAAGUCCUGCUGGCAAAGUGAAUUUUUGUUACCCGAGUGUUUAAAAUGAGAGACGGAUCCACAAUUUGGAAACCUAGGGAAAAAGUUUUGCAUGGCUCCUUGACCCUUUCAAGGAAAGGGGUUGCGUGAUGUUGCUGGCUGUGAGAUCGUGGAACGGGCCUGGGUGACCCAAGUUGUCCCUUCCAGCUCUCAUUUCUUGUUGCUUGGAGUUGGGAUGGGGACUGUGAAGAACAGAACAAGCAUUUUUAAAAGGGCUAUAUAAGCCCUUGGAAAAAUUUAUUACUAAGCAGAUAAAUACUUUCUUUAAAGCAAAAUUGCUCUUUACUUUCCAGGAGGCUUAUCUUGAAGUUUCCCAGUGUCAUAUCACAUAUGAAGGGGCACAGAUUGUUGAAUCAAAACCCAGUGUGUGAUUUCAAAGGGUAAAUUUCACUGUGCUUUCACCUCAGCUGCCCUGAGCCAUGUGGAGACAUAUGGAGUCCCUGACUUCUGGAGAGAGGACCUUUAGCCCAUCUGGGGUUCAUUUGCAUCCAUCCCCAGGGAUGACAGAAAGACACAAGGAAGAAAGGACAAGGAUGGCAACUGAGGCAGCAAUGGAGAAGUUCCAGAAGGAUUGCCGAGACAAGGAAGAUGCCUGGGCACAGAAGCUGUGAGAUGUACAUUAACUUUUGGGGGUGUCCCAGAGGAAAGCUAUUUUUCCCCAAGUAUCCCAAGUAUUCAGAGUAUCCAAGGAUUUUAAGCUAAAGAUGAUGUUUGAGUUUGGACAAGGGUUUGAGGACAUGACAACUGAAAAAAGGGAGAAGACUGCACAAUCAUCUCAAGGUUUGCAAAUGCCUGCCCAAAGAAAAGGAGUAUGGGUGUUGAAACAAGGAGGGUGACCCACGAAAGCAAGUAACCACAAGGGUAAGGCAAAGGAAGAAAUUAUCUAGUG
RNAcentral lists this long non-coding RNA (1431 nucleotides) under Crocodylus porosus (Australian saltwater crocodile). RNAcentral describes it as "lncRNA (ENSCPRG00005017586.1)". The record is from RNAcentral. Lineage: Eukaryota; Metazoa; Chordata; Crocodylia; Crocodylidae.